AACGAACGCUGGCGGCAUGCCUAACACAUGCAAGUCGAACGAAACCUUCGGGUCUAGUGGCGCACGGGUGCGUAACGCGUGGGAACCUGCCCUUAGGUUCGGAAUAACUCCCCGAAAGGGGUGCUAAUACCGGAUAAUGUCUUCGGACCAAAGAUUUAUCGCCUUUGGAUGGGCCCGCGUUGGAUUAGCUAGUUGGUAGGGUAAAAGCCUACCAAGGCGACGAUCCAUAGCUGGUCUGAGAGGAUGAUCAGCCACACUGGGACUGAGACACGGCCCAGACUCCUACGGGAGGCAGCAGUGGGGAAUAUUGGACAAUGGGCGAAAGCCUGAUCCAGCAAUGCCGCGUGAGUGAUGAAGGCCUUAGGGUUGUAAAGCUCUUUUACCCGGGAUGAUAAUGACAGUACCGGGAGAAUAAGCGCCGGCUAACUCCGUG
This 433-nucleotide ribosomal RNA is filed under the name uncultured bacterium. RNAcentral describes it as "partial 16S ribosomal RNA". It matches the Rfam family "Bacterial small subunit ribosomal RNA", at positions 29 to 507 of the family's 1533-position model. The record is from RNAcentral.